Molecule: ribosomal RNA, 496 nt
Filed under: uncultured bacterium
Lineage: Bacteria
Description: partial 16S ribosomal RNA
Rfam family: Bacterial small subunit ribosomal RNA
Source: RNAcentral
AUGAACGCUGGCGGCGUGCCUAAUACAUGCAAGUCGAGCGAACAGACGAGGAGCUUGCUCCUCUGACGUUAGCGGCGGACGGGUGAGUAACACGUGGAUAACCUACCUAUAAGACUGGGAUAACUUCGGGAAACCGGAGCUAAUACCGGAUAAUAUAUUGAACCGCAUGGUUCAAUAGUGAAAGACGGUUUUGCUGUCACUUAUAGAUGGAUCCGCGCCGCAUUAGCUAGUUGGUAAGGUAACGGCUUACCAAGGCAACGAUGCGUAGCCGACCUGAGAGGGUGAUCGGCCACACUGGAACUGAGACACGGUCCAGACUCCUACGGGAGGCAGCAGUAGGGAAUCUUCCGCAAUGGGCGAUAGCCUGACGGAGCAACGCCGCGUGAGUGAUGAAGGUCUUCGGAUCGUAGAACUCUGUUAUUAGGGAAGAACAAAUGUGUAAGUAACUAUGCACGUCUUGACGGUACCUAAUCAGAAAGCCACGGCUAACUACGUG